Molecule: ribosomal RNA, 569 nt
Filed under: uncultured bacterium
Lineage: Bacteria
Description: partial 16S ribosomal RNA
Rfam family: Bacterial small subunit ribosomal RNA
Source: RNAcentral
UGGGGAAUUUUGGACAAUGGGCGAAAGCCUGAUCCAGCAAUGCCGCGUGUGUGAAGAAGGCCUUCGGGUUGUAAAGCACUUUUGUCCGGAAAGAAAUCCUUGGCUCUAAUACAGUCGGGGGAUGACGGUACCGGAAGAAUAAGCACCGGCUAACUACGUGCCAGCAGCCGCGGUAAUACGUAGGGUGCAAGCGUUAAUCGGAAUUACUGGGCGUAAAGCGUGCGCAGGCGGUUUGCUAAGACCGAUGUGAAAUCCCCGGGCUCAACCUGGGAACUGCAUUGGUGACUGGCAGGCUAGAGUAUGGCAGAGGGGGGUAGAAUUCCACGUGUAGCAGUGAAAUGCGUAGAGAUGUGGAGGAAUACCGAUGGCGAAGGCAGCCCCCUGGGCCAAUACUGACGCUCAUGCACGAAAGCGUGGGGAGCAAACAGGAUUAGAUACCCUGGUAGUCCACGCCCUAAACGAUGUCAACUAGUUGUUGGGGAUUCAUUUCCUUAGUAACGUAGCUAACGCGUGAAGUUGACCGCCUGGGGGAGUACGGGUCGCAAGAUUAAAACUUCAAAUGAAUUGAC